This is a long non-coding RNA of Sinocyclocheilus anshuiensis, 221 nucleotides long. RefSeq lists it as uncharacterized. Lineage: Eukaryota; Metazoa; Chordata; Actinopteri; Cypriniformes; Cyprinidae. The record is from RefSeq and is a predicted model, not a curated record. The transcript has 3 exons.
UCUGUAUUCAGAAGGUCAGAUUACUCUGUGUGUGUCUCAUCCUGCACACAGAUGCGCAUUACUGUGACCGGCUGCAUAAACUCAUCACAAACGUCCGUGUACAAGAGACCUGGUGCAUGGAAAGAGCUUCAUUCUAAGAAAGGAAACCUUUGAGUCAGAGACGAGCGUCCUGUCAACAUGUUCAGCACCAAAAGACUAAAGAAGAAGUCCCAGUCGGAGGA